This 379-nucleotide ribosomal RNA is filed under the name uncultured cyanobacterium. Its description in RNAcentral is "bacterial SSU rRNA". It matches the Rfam family "Bacterial small subunit ribosomal RNA", at positions 376 to 770 of the family's 1533-position model. Lineage: Bacteria; Bacillati; Cyanobacteriota. The record is from RNAcentral.
CGAAAGCCUGACGGAGCAACGCCGCGUGUGGGAAGAAGGCUCUUGGGCUGUCAACCACUUUUCUCAGGGAAGAAGUUCUGACGGUACCUGAGGAAUCAGCCUCGGCUAACUCCGUGCCAGCAGCCGCGGUAAUACGGAGGAGGCAAGCGUUAUCCGGAAUUAUUGGGCGUAAAGCGUCCGCAGGGGGCGCAUCAAGUCUGCUGUCAAAGGUCGGAGCUUAACUCCGGAAAGGCAGUGGAAACUGAAGCGCUAGAGUGCGGUAGGGGUAGAGGGAAUUCCCGGUGUAGCGGUGAAAUGCGUAGAGAUCGGGAAGAACAUCGGUGGCGAAAGCGCUCUACUGGGUCGCACCUGACCCUCAGGGACGAAAGCUAAGGUAGCG